Molecule: long non-coding RNA, 2758 nt
Organism: Diceros bicornis minor
Lineage: Eukaryota; Metazoa; Chordata; Mammalia; Perissodactyla; Rhinocerotidae
Exons: 3
Source: RefSeq, a predicted model, not a curated record
UGCACAUCCUUCUAGUUGCUGCAUGUGGGACGCAGCCUCAGCAUGGCCAGAGAAGCGGUGCGUCGGUGCGCGCCCGGGAUCCAAACCCAGGCCGCCAGCAGCGGAGCACGCACACUUAACCGCUAAGCCAUGGGGCUGGCCCAAGAAAGCAGUUUUUAAGGGAUGCUUAGAGAGUUUUGGUCCUCUCAAGUAAGUAGGAAUAAAGGGCAUAAUGUGUUUUGCCUUUAUUUUCUAGAGAGAGAUGGCAAGGCAUUAAGAAUUGAGGGAUACGGGAGGAUGAGGUGUUUUGCAAAGAGCAGGCAGAGUUCUGAGACUUCUCUUCACUCUGUUAGGGGGGCUACAGAGCAGAGCUUCUCACACUUUAGUGUGAAGAUGAAUCUCCUGAGGAUCUUGCUAAAAUGGAGAUUCUGGUUCAGGAAGGGUGGGAUCAGGAUUGAGAUUUUGCAUUUCUAACAGGUUCCAGGAGACGUUAAUGCUACUUUGAGGAGCAAGCUAGAGGGUGGAGCAGGAGUCAUCUUAUCAAGAGCCCAUUGACUCUUGCAGUGGAGGCAUUUACUAGAGUACUAAUGAUACAAUUUUUAUGGUUAUUUGUGUGUGUGUGGUGGGAAUGAGGACUAUUUCAUUGAGAAGGUUGUAUCGGAGAUGAACCUUUUAAGGUGCAUUAGAUUUCGGAAAGCAGAGACUAGAGGUAUGGUAGGUAUCUUAAAGGAUUUAUAAAUGUUUUGAUGUUCAGAGUCUCCUGGAUUUAACACCUUGCUUCAAGGGAAGUAUUUUAACAAGAAAAUAUCUAGAAAUAUUCACGACUAUGCGUUGUAUACCUGAUCACUUGAAAGAUAGUUUUCUCCUAGUCAGUCAGAGGCAGCACCUUCUCUGUAGGAGAAGGAAUUAGUAUGGGGAGAAUAAAAACAGGUAUACAGGGCCGACCCCGUGGCUUAGCGGUUAAGUGCGGCUCAGUGGUUAAGUGCGGCGCUCCGCUACUGGCGGCCAGGGUUCUACUGGGGCUUUGGGGGGGAAAAAAAACAGCUAUACAAAGUCAAAGUUCAAGUUUUUUUUUUUUAAACUUAUAAAACAGGCUUUUUGAGAAUCAAAGGUAAAUCUCCAGGAAAGGCAGGCACAGAGUAUGUGACAAAAUCAAACCAGAAAGUACGUAGGAAUAUAGAGGAAGAAGAAGAUCACUAUACAUCUUCGCCUGGGCUCGAGUUUGGCAAACAGAAGGAUACAAUUACCUGGGUGAUGAUUUAAUAAAAGAAUAAUGUCAGAAGAACUGUGUUGGAAGAGCUACUUUAAAACUAAAAGACAUUUUUACGGAAAAAGUUCACUCAGAAGUACUCUAGUCUGGACUUCCUUACAUCUGAAUGGCUGAGCUCCAAGAUAAGAGGAGAAGUUGCAGUCCUUUUGAGGCAUAGGCUUGGAAGUCCUAGAACAUCACUUCUACUGAUUUCUAUUGGACAAGGCAAGUCACAGGACCAGCCCAGAUUCAAGGUAGGAAAAACAGAUUCUAUUUGUUGAUGAGAUGAGAGUCAUACUUGUACAGGAACAGAGGAAAUGAAUGGCUGCUUUCAUUAACACUGUCCACUACCCUAGAGUUGUAAUAUUUAUUUCUCAGUUGUCAAACAUUUACUGAGCUCUGAGAAACAAGAUUGAGAUAGAGUCUGUAAAUUGACAAGGUUCCUGUCUCUGUGAUACAGUGUUAUGGAGAAGAUUGACAAUUAAACAAGUAUAUAGCACUUGCAUUUCUGGCAACAUGGAGGAUUAAAUAACAGACAAAAUAUAAAAAUGCCAAAUAAAUUUUAAUAAAUUUUUGAAUGCAUAGCCAGGAAAUAUCAAGUGACAUAAAUAAAGAGGAUAUUCAUUUAAAGCAUGCUAAGUGUGCAAAGUGAUGCUACAGUGGCUUAUGAAGACGUCAGAUAGGAUAUAAACUUUAAAGUCUAGAGGCUGGGCUUUGAAUAUGUACAGGGAUAGGAAAGGUGGAAGAUGGAAGCUGAGAUUGCCGCAUCUUUCAUGUAAUAGGUCUAAAAUUUCUAGACAAACAAUCCAGUGAAAUACUGAAACCCUAAACCUGAGCAAUAGGCAUGGAGUCAGUAAUUUGUGAGUAGAGGAAACCAAAGCUGAAAAGUUAACACAAAAACUGGUUAUAUCCGUAAAAAUCCUUGGAGCAUCAGGCAGAAAUUAACACAAAUCUUUGUACGGACACCUCAAAUAUAUAGGGUACAGUAUGUCCACAAUGAAAACAGUUCUCAAAAAAGUUGACCUCACACUAAAAAACUAGACAUCAUAGGUGGUAGUUCUCACUGCUGCUCACCAACAUUUCUGAGUUUUCCCCCUUUAGGUACUCAGUAUUAAUGCAUUCCCCAUCUCCUUGAAUGCCAUGUGACUUGCUUUGGCCAAUGAAAUGUGAGUGGAAAUUACAUGUGCCAUCUCUAGCUGGAAGCAUUUAAGAGUUUGUAUGCUAUUCUUUACAAUUCUGUUGUUCUGCCACGGUGAUUGAUUAUGGAAGCAUAUGUUGGUAAUGAAGAUGUAAUCCUGAGCCCUCAUAUGGAGCACAGCUGCCUUAGAGAGUAAUUUGAACCUGCAGCUCAAUAGAUAUGAGUUUUUGAAACAUUUAAAUUUGGAGGUUAUUUGUUUCCAUGGCAUAACUUAGUGUAUCGUAAUUAAUAAACCACACAAGGAAAUUAUCUAUUGUAAGAGAGUGUUAACAAAUAAUCCAAAAUAUGGUACUUAAACAACUUCAAAUAAAGGACAUUCUGAAUGAGUCAAC